GAGGUCUGUGUGAAGAGCCCUGGGUCUGAGGAGUACGUGCUGUUUGAUCACUGAGGCCAAGUUCAGAAACAGGCCUAGACUCACAGAUUUGCCAGUGGGUGAUAUGAACUGGCCCAGCUUGACUUGCCCCAGACCUGAGCCAAAGCAGGUGAUCUGGUCCUGAGAACACACUCAGCAACUGCUUCCCAAGAUAUAAGCAGAAUCGGCAAGGAUGAACUCUCCAGGGAUGUAACAGCAACAACAACACAGACUGCCAAGCAACUCAGUGUGCUGAGGAGCCGAGUCACUGCCAGACGCCAGGCAGAGAACACUGGGAGCUAACUCCUGCCCUGCCAG
This is a long non-coding RNA of Ochotona princeps (American pika), 336 nucleotides long. RefSeq lists it as uncharacterized. The transcript has 3 exons. The record is from RefSeq and is a predicted model, not a curated record. NCBI's taxonomy places the organism in Eukaryota, Metazoa, Chordata, Mammalia, Lagomorpha, Ochotonidae.